AGUGAACGCUGGCGGUAGGCCUAACACAUGCAAGUCGAACGGCAGCACAGUAAGAGCUUGCUCUUACGGGUGGCGAGUGGCGGACGGGUGAGGAAUACAUCGGAAUCUACUUUUUCGUGGGGGAUAACGUAGGGAAACUUACGCUAAUACCGCAUACGACCUACGGUUGAAAGCAGGGGAUCUUCGGACCUUGCGCGAUUGAAUGAGCCGAUGUCGGAUUAGCUAGUUGGCGGGGUAAAGGCCCACCAAGGCGACGAUCCGUAGCUGGUCUGAGAGGAUGAUCAGCCACACUGGAACUGAGACACGGUCCAGACUCCUACGGGAGGCAGCAGUGGGGAAUAUUGGACAAUGGGCGCAAGCCUGAUCCAGCCAUACCGCGUGGGUGAAGAAGGCCUUCGGGUUGUAAAGCCCUUUUGUUGGGAAAGAAAAGCAGCAGGUUAAUACCCCGCUGUUCCGACGGUAUCCAAAGAAUAAGCACCGGCUAACUUCGUG
RNAcentral lists this ribosomal RNA (492 nucleotides) under uncultured bacterium. Its description in RNAcentral is "partial 16S ribosomal RNA". It matches the Rfam family "Bacterial small subunit ribosomal RNA", at positions 29 to 507 of the family's 1533-position model. The record is from RNAcentral.